CUUANNNACUCUUGNNNCNNCNGAACUUAGCAGAGAUGCUUCGGUGCCUUCGGGAACUGUGAGACAGGUGCUGCAUGGCUGUCGUCAGCUCGUGUUGUGAAAUGUUGGGUUAAGUCCCGCAACGAGCGCAACCCUUAUCCUUUGUUGCCAGCACGUAAUGGUGGGAACUCAAGGGAGACUGCCGGUGACAAACCGGAGGAAGGUGGGGAUGACGUCAAGUCAUCAUGGCCCUUACGAGUAGGGCUACACACGUGCUACAAUGGCAGAUACAAAGUGAAGCGAACUCGCGAGAGCAAGCGGACCACAUAAAGUCUGUCGUAGUCCGGAUUGGAGUCUGCAACUCGACUCCAUGAAGUCGGAAUCGCUAGUAAUNNNAGAUCAGAAUGCUACGGUGAAUACGUUCCCG
RNAcentral lists this ribosomal RNA (406 nucleotides) under Yersinia sp. AZTITEMP303. RNAcentral's name for it is "partial 16S ribosomal RNA". It matches the Rfam family "Bacterial small subunit ribosomal RNA", at positions 970 to 1376 of the family's 1533-position model. Lineage: Bacteria; Pseudomonadati; Pseudomonadota; Gammaproteobacteria; Enterobacterales; Yersiniaceae. The record is from RNAcentral.